Molecule: ribosomal RNA, 253 nt
Filed under: uncultured bacterium
Lineage: Bacteria
Description: partial 16S ribosomal RNA
Rfam family: Bacterial small subunit ribosomal RNA
Source: RNAcentral
UACGUAGGGUGCAAGCGUUGUCCGGAAUUAUUGGGCGUAAAGAGCUCGUAGGCGGCUAGUCGCGUCGACUGUGAAAACCCGGGGCUCAACUCCGGGCCUGCAGUCGAUACGGGCUGGCUUGAGUGCGGUAGGGGAGACUGGAAUUCCUGGUGUAGCGGUGAAAUGCGCAGAUAUCAGGAGGAACACCGGUGGCGAAGGCGGGUCUCUGGGCCGAUACUGACGCUGAGGAGCGAAAGCGUGGGGAGCGAACAGG